This 253-nucleotide ribosomal RNA is filed under the name uncultured bacterium. Its description in RNAcentral is "partial 16S ribosomal RNA". It matches the Rfam family "Bacterial small subunit ribosomal RNA", at positions 524 to 776 of the family's 1533-position model. The record is from RNAcentral.
UACGAAAGGGGCUAGCGUUGUUCGGAAUUACUGGGCGUAAAGCGCACGUAGGCGGCUUGGUAAGUUGGGGGUGAAAUCCCAGGGCUCAACCCUGGAACUGCCUCCAAAACUGCUAGGCUAGAGGAUGCGAGAGGUUGGCGGAAUUCCGAGUGUAGAGGUGAAAUUCGUAGAUAUUCGGAAGAACACCAGUGGCGAAGGCGGCCAACUGGCGCAUUUCUGACGCUGAGGUGCGAAAGCGUGGGGAGCAAACAGG